UUAACUUUCUCUCACCAAUCCAUGCUGAAGUAUGGGAGAGGUUUUCCUUGGUUUCAUUUCUUCUUGAAUCUUCUGUUUUUCUUUUCUGUCAGUGGCAGCUUGUUCGUAGAGAAGGACAUAAAGAGUUGUGGAGUGAUUGCUGUCUAGCAGUGAAGCAGAGGGGAUGUGUGUAUGUGAGGGGCACUCACUUCAGAGUUUUAUACUCUUCUCAUCCUUCCUAUUUCCAAGAAACACCUCUUUCAGGCACGUUUAGAUUCAAAGUUGGAUGCUGUCACUCUUUCAUUGGCUUCAUGGUUGGCUUAGUUCCUGAAUAUGCAACAUUUCUGAUUGCUUUUGUUCUUCUUGUGGCAGGAAAACAUCAGGGUUUGAAAAUUCCACACAUGACUGACGAGAGACAGCUGCAGGCCCAGGGCUCUACUCCUCAACAGAGCUUUCUGCAGGAAGGUUGGACUACAGAUGCCCGCUCUGCAUCGACCUCUGAGCUGCUGCUUAAAGUCAUAUUCAGUGUAUGAAGAACUCAAGUCUUCUGAUUCAGUCUUCAUGUAAGAAGGGCAUGAAGUGGAUGAAAGCAUAUUAGGAGUCAGGAACUCCUGAGUAAUGAUCCUAGGUGUGAAAGCAACUCCCACUGUGUGACAACAAUCUAACUGUUCUGUCUUAGUUUCCCCAUAUGUAAAAUGAGUAAAUACCUAACUCAAGACUACUGUAAAGAUUGUUUUAAGUAACUGAAAAUAAAAAGUGCUAAGUAAAUGUGUUACUUAUAAAAGUCCUUCAUGCAUCUACUAAAGUGGGUUUAUUGCUGUCAAUCUAUUUAAAUCUCUUUUAUACCAUUUUAGAAACAAGGCAAUCAAAACUGAAUGAAGUAUUAA
This is a long non-coding RNA of Gopherus evgoodei (Goodes thornscrub tortoise), 866 nucleotides long. RefSeq lists it as uncharacterized. The record is from RefSeq and is a predicted model, not a curated record. Lineage: Eukaryota; Metazoa; Chordata; Testudines; Testudinidae. The transcript has 3 exons.